RNAcentral lists this ribosomal RNA (162 nucleotides) under Bremia lactucae (lettuce downy mildew). RNAcentral describes it as "5.8S ribosomal RNA". It matches the Rfam family "5.8S ribosomal RNA". Rfam says of the family: 5.8S ribosomal RNA (5.8S rRNA) is a component of the large subunit of the eukaryotic ribosome. It is transcribed by RNA polymerase I as part of the 45S precursor that also contains 18S and 28S rRNA. Lineage: Eukaryota; Oomycota; Peronosporomycetes; Peronosporales; Peronosporaceae. The record is from RNAcentral.
UAGCAACUUUCAGCAGUGGAUGUCUAGGCUCGCACAUCGAUGAAGAACGCUGCGAACUGCGAUACGUAAUGCGAAUUGCAGGAUUCAGUGAGUCAUCGAAAUUUUGAACGCAUAUUGCACUUCCGGGCUAGUCCUGGAAGUAUGCCUGUAUCAGUGUCCGUA